UAUUAAAUAAACAGCUUAUUAACUUCAUUCAUCUAGAUGUAGACACUGUUCAUAUUCGGCUGGAGCCAGAGAAUAGCAGUGAAUUCUUCACAAACAACAUAUCAUUUCCAAGCUACUUUAAACUGGAUAUUGCCAUAAAACUUCCUCUCUUUCCUUUUCUCUCUAUCACAUAUUUUGGGUCACCAAUUCACAGGAUGGUUAUAUGCGAUUACAAUAGUUGAUGGAGUUCAUUAUGAAUUAUGAGACUGCACAGCAGGUCUGGAGGAACAAAGAAUGCCCAUGGACUUCACAGAUCCUCUAAGACUGAUAAACCGUUAACAUUCAUUUAAGCUGUUGAGGGGAAACCAUUUAUUCACCACUUCAGCAAGACACUAGCUCCAGCCUUCGCAUCAUACUUAGAAAGCAUUCAGUCCACAGUGUGAAGUGGUUGGCAUUUGGAAAGGGCAUCCAACUGUAAAAACCAUGCCAAAACUGACCUUAUCUGUACUGGUGCCAUGUAAAAAGCACUCAGUCCACUCUGUUGGGAUGUUUGGUGUUAGGAAGAGCAUCCAGUCAUAAAAGCCAUGCCAAAACAGACACAGAAGUUUGGUGUAGUCUUCUACCUGGCCAGCUUCUGUCAAACCAUUCAAUCCAUGCCAGCAUAGAAGGUGGACAUUAAACGAUGAUGAUAAUGAUGAUAUCCCGCAACACUAUAUCCCACUUAAUAGAGGGAUUUUGUCUUGUAGACUUGGUGGCCUCAAAAGAACUGGUAUUAUGAAAACAAAGUCCCUUGUACACUCUAUGAAGUAGUUCACACUAGGAAGGACAUCCAGGUGUUGAAAUCAUGCCAAAGUAGACAUUGGAUCUUGGCACAACUCUUCAGCUCAUCAAGACAUGUUGAACCAUCGAACCCAUGCCAUCAUGAAAAAACAGAUGUUAAAAAAUAGUGGUGGUGGUGGUGGUGGUGGUGGCAUGACAGUGAUGAUGAUGAUGAUGACGACUCAAUAUAUCUUUUGAAACAUUACUCCAUAAGUGAAGAACUAUUGCUGUUUGGCCCCAGUGUCCUAGAUGUGUCUUUUUAAGACAGUAGGAUAUGAGGGAUUUGUCUUAUUUAUAGUCACCUCAGUGACUACAAAGAGGCUCCAACACUGGCUUAUCAAACAAAGAGUUCAUGAGGUUGCUUAUCCACUGCUUGGCCUUGAUUCAGCUGAACUAGAACUAAAGGCAUUCUUGUUAUGAGCACCUUAACUUUUGGCAUUUCUAGAACUAUUUUAUCUGCUUUUCUUUUAAUUUAAGGGAGACUUAGCAGCUAUUUCUACCAAUUCAAGUUCACUGACUCAAAGGAAAGGUGACAUAUAGGCAAUAUGUGAAAUAUGGAGAAGGAAAUACACUGACUGAAGAGGAAUGAGUUAAAUAUAGUUAAGGUGUGCAAUUGCCAAUUUACUAGAAGACUGAGUAAGUGACUAGGUAUCAGAAAUAUUACUGGAUAUGCACAUUAAAUACAAAUAUAUUACUUUUAACAUGUAUUGGAAGAUUACAGGUAAGUUUACCCCCAUCAAUUCAUCACAGGAGAGUUCACCACCAUCAGUUCAUCAUGAAGAAAGUUCACCGUGAGGGAAGUUUACUGAGAAAAUAUAUCCAUAGUAUCUCACCAUUGUGUUAAAAAUAACUUUAUUGAAAAAAAAAAAAAGUAAUGAAGAUCAAAACAUGCAAUCAGGGAUUUUAUCUUUUGGAUUAAAACAUAGUAUGUACUAAAUAUGAAGAAGAAAAAAAGCUUAAUUUUAAAUUCAUACUUCUUUACAACAUAAAUCAAUACAAAAUUCAAAUUUACAUUAUUCAAAAUUGUGUUUGAAUCGAUGACGGUGAAUUGAUGACCGUGAACUUACCAGACAUUGGACUGGAAUGUAAAAUAUCUCUAAGAUAACAUAAGGGAGUAUUCAUAUUUGAGUUAGUGGUCAGGGUAUUCAUCCAAUGACGAAAUGGAUUUCCACCAGGAAAUGUACCAUCUGCUCACCUAUUCUCGAAACAGCUGUAAGGGACUAUCUGCACACCUUUUGCCCUCUUCUUAUCCAGCUUUGUAUUCUACCUACAAUGACCAGCUCUACCUAAUACCAGUAAUUUGUAUUAAGCAUAUAACUGUCCUGGGUGAAUACUGGCAUAUAGCAUAACCAUUAUGAACACUCCUCAACUGAUCUUUUAUUGACCUGUUGUGAUCUAAACUCCAUAACAUUCAAUUCUACUCUCAUGUUCUGUCAAUGCUUAAAUAAAUAAAUGUCAUAAUCUGACCUGGCA
Molecule: long non-coding RNA, 2271 nt
Organism: Octopus bimaculoides (California two-spot octopus)
Lineage: Eukaryota; Metazoa; Mollusca; Cephalopoda; Octopoda; Octopodidae
Source: RefSeq, a predicted model, not a curated record